Molecule: ribosomal RNA, 268 nt
Filed under: uncultured prokaryote
Description: partial 16S ribosomal RNA
Rfam family: Bacterial small subunit ribosomal RNA
Source: RNAcentral
ACGGGGGGUGCGAGCGUUGUCCGGAAUCACUGGGCGUAAAGGGUGCGUAGGUGGUUUGAUAAGCGUGCGGUGAAAGCCCGGGGCUCAACCCCGGGUCGGCCGUGCGAACUGCUGGGCUCGAGCACUGUAGAGGCAGGUGGAAUUCCGGGUGUAGCGGUGGAAUGCGUAGAGAUCCGGAAGAACACCGGUGGCGAAGGCGGCCUGCUGGGCAGUGACCUCACGGUCAAUAGCUGACGCUGAUGCGCGACAGCGUGGGGAGCAAACAGGA